Molecule: ribosomal RNA, 396 nt
Filed under: uncultured bacterium
Lineage: Bacteria
Description: partial 16S ribosomal RNA
Rfam family: Bacterial small subunit ribosomal RNA
Source: RNAcentral
AUACGUAGGGGGCGAGCGUUGUCCGGAAUGAUUGGGCGUAAAGGGCGCGUAGGCGGCCCGGUAAGUCUGGAGUGAAAGUCCUGUUUUUAAGAUGGGAAUUGCUUUGGAUACUGUCGGGCUUGAGUGCAGGAGAGGUAAGUGGAAUUCCCAGUGUAGCGGUGAAAUGCGUAGAGAUUGGGAGGAACACCAGUGGCGAAGGCGACUUACUGGACUGUAACUGACGCUGAGGCGCGAAAGCGUGGGGAGCAAACAGGAUUAGAUACCCUGGUAGUCCACGCUGUAAACGAUCAAUACUAGGUGUGCGGGGACUGACCCCCUGCGUGCCGCAGUUAACACAAUAAGUAUUGCACCUGGGGAGUACGAUCGCAAGGUUGAAACUCAAAGGAAUUGACGGGG